This is a non-coding RNA of Chelonoidis abingdonii (Abingdon island giant tortoise), 134 nucleotides long. The record is from RefSeq and is a predicted model, not a curated record. NCBI's taxonomy places the organism in Eukaryota, Metazoa, Chordata, Testudines, Testudinidae.
GUCUGGCAUAGAUCUCCCUUGAGUCGUUCCAGCGAGAAUCUAGCCAAUAUCAUUUGUUCCUACAUGAAGGACAAUCACCGGAUUCUUUCCCACUCCGUUAGGAUCCUUUCAGCCUCAACCAGGAUGGUAGUUAA